This is a non-coding RNA of Lolium perenne, 1128 nucleotides long. NCBI's taxonomy places the organism in Eukaryota, Viridiplantae, Streptophyta, Magnoliopsida, Poales, Poaceae. The record is from RefSeq and is a predicted model, not a curated record.
UGGCUGCAUCUGGAUUGUGUGCUCCUUUUCAAUUGGAAAGAGAUAAUCAGGUGAAUGGUGUUGUUGGUGAUCCUCACGUUCGUGCCCCUCUCUUUGGUAUCUCGAUAUGAAAUUUCAAUAUUUCAUGGUUCCUACAUAUAAUGUAUUGUUGUUGUACCAUUGGUUGCAGUUUCAGAGGUAUCCUUUACCUCAGCCUCCACCAGCCUUAGGUUCAGCAGUGAAAAAGGGCUUCCACUGCGGAGAUUGACGGGGCAGAAUUAGAGACUGACAUGUGCAUGUCUUGGGACAUCUCUUCAUUGAUAUGACGGUGAAUCAUGUAUUUUAAGUAAUUCCUUUUAUGAUUACUUGAUGUAUACUGCCAACUGUAAGUAUUUUACCUCUUAAAUGUGUUGUAGGGUUUGAUGGAGGAUGAAAGCAUGCAAGAUGAAAGAGAGUUAAGAUUCACAAACCAAGUUAAUCAGGAACUAAACAUUUGCUACUUCAAUCCAAAAGUGUUGUAUGCACAUUGUUCUAUGCUCAACUUAGUUGACACAGCCAUCCAAAUCAGUUAUAGUUCCGAAUAAGAUUUGCAUGGGUUACUUAUGACUGGAGACAAAAAGAUAUGUGCCUUCAAAUUCAAGGUGGUGCCAAAGGACAAUACGCUUGAUUGAGUAACCCUUCCUAGAUUUUAAGUUUUGUCUACAAAUAAGGCAUCCAACUAAUUCAUCAUCCAUGUGAUGGUCUUCCCACUAGAGCAAUGAUUACAGCCUUCCUAAAAAAAUGUGUCAAAGAAGACAGAACUUCUCAUGCAUUUAUGUCUGGCCUGGGAAAACAGAGACCUAGAGACUGGCAAGGUUAUAUAUGGACCAGAUUUUUAUCAUGGGAAAUACAUUGGAGGGCUGUGUGCUAAACAACCACAUAGAUCAAUUCAGAGACAAAUUGAAGAAAUAUCCGAUCUUUCAUUUGAGAUGUGCAUCAUCUCUGAAGCAUGAAGAAAUAUCCAAGAAAUUCUAUGUAUCUUGAAGUGUUGUGUACAAUGCGCAACUAUUUGGAGCUCUAGCAGCACACAUUGGAGAUUAUACUCUUCUUUUUAGGGUAUCUAACAUCACAUAUGAUUUAUCAUCUAUUUCAUUUCCAUCCUUUGAUUAC